UACGAGGGGGGCAAAUGUUGUUCGGAAUCACUGGGCUUAAAGAGUCCGUAGGCGGCAUGUUAGGUGAGGUGUGAAAUCCCACGGCCCAACCGUGGAAUUGCGCUUCAAACCGGCGUGCUUGAGGAAGAUAGAGGUGGGCGGAACUGAUGGUGGAGCGGUGAAAUGCGUUGAUAUCAUCAGGAACACCGGAGGCGAAGGCGGCCCACUGGGUCUUUUCUGACGCUGAGGGACGAAAGCCAGGGGAGCGAACGGG
RNAcentral lists this ribosomal RNA (253 nucleotides) under uncultured bacterium. Its description in RNAcentral is "partial 16S ribosomal RNA". It matches the Rfam family "Bacterial small subunit ribosomal RNA", at positions 524 to 776 of the family's 1533-position model. The record is from RNAcentral.